CCUACGGGGUGCUGCAGUGGGGAAUAUUGGACAAUGGGGGCAACCCUGAUCCAGCCAUGCCGCGUGUGUGAAGAAGGCCCUCGGGUUGUAAAGCACUUUCAGUGAGGAAGAACGCCUGGUGGUUAAUACCCAUCAGGAAAGACAUCACUCACAGAAGAAGCACCGGCUAACUCCGUGCCAGCAGCCGCGGUAAUACGGAGGGUGCGAGCGUUAAUCGGAAUUACUGGGCGUAAAGCGCGCGUAGGUGGCUUGAUAAGCCGGUUGUGAAAGCCCCGGGCUCAACCUGGGAACGGCAUCCGGAACUGUCAAGCUAGAGUGCAGGAGAGGAAGGUAGAAUUCCCGGUGUAGCGGUGAAAUGCGUAGAGAUCGGGAGGAAUACCAGUGGCGAAGGCGGCCUUCUGGACUGACACUGACACUGAGGUGCGAAAGCGUGGGUAGCAAACAGGAUUAGAUACCCCGGUAGUC
Molecule: ribosomal RNA, 465 nt
Filed under: Vreelandella stevensii
Lineage: Bacteria; Pseudomonadati; Pseudomonadota; Gammaproteobacteria; Oceanospirillales; Halomonadaceae
Description: partial 16S ribosomal RNA
Rfam family: Bacterial small subunit ribosomal RNA
Source: RNAcentral